AUCUAGCUGACGACUCCAAAAUACGACGAAACGCGCGUCCUGUAU
Molecule: non-coding RNA, 45 nt
Filed under: Schistosoma mansoni
Lineage: Eukaryota; Metazoa; Platyhelminthes; Trematoda; Strigeidida; Schistosomatidae
Source: RNAcentral